This 468-nucleotide ribosomal RNA is filed under the name uncultured bacterium. Its description in RNAcentral is "partial 16S ribosomal RNA". It matches the Rfam family "Bacterial small subunit ribosomal RNA", at positions 28 to 507 of the family's 1533-position model. The record is from RNAcentral.
GACGAACGCUGGCGGCGUGCUUAACACAUGCAAGUCGAACGGAAAGGCCCUGCUUUUGUUGGGUGCUCGAGUGGCGAACGGUUGAGUAACACGUGAGUAACCUGCCCUUGACUUUGUGAUAACUUCAGGAAACUGGGGCUAAUACCGGAUAGGAGCUCCUGCUGCUUGUUGGGGGUUGGAAAGUUUCGGCGGUUGGGGAUGGACUCGCGGCUUAUCAGCUUGUUGGUGUGGUAGUGGCUUACCAAGGCGUUGACGGGUCGCCGGCCUGAGAGGGUGACAGGCCACAGUGGGACUGAGAUACGGCCCAGACUCCUACGGGAGGCAGCAGUGGGGAAUAUUGCACAAUGGGCGGAAGCCUGAUGCAGCAACGCCGCGUGCGGGAUGACGGCCUUCGGGUUAUAAACCGCUUUCGCCUGUGACGAAGCGUGAGUGACGGUAAUGGGUAAAGAAGCACCGGCUAACUACGUG